ACGGAGGAUCCGAGCGUUAUCCGGAUUUAUUGGGUUUAAAGGGUGCGCAGGCGGUUUUGUAAGACAGGUGUGAAAUCCCCGGGCUCAACCUGGGAAUGGCGCUUGUGACUGCAAGACUGGAGUACGGCAGAGGGGGGUGGAAUUCCACGUGUAGCAGUGAAAUGCGUAGAGAUGUGGAGGAACACCGAUGGCGAAGGCAGCCCCCUGGGCCAGUACUGACGCUCAUGCACGAAAGCGUGGGUAGCAAACA
This 250-nucleotide ribosomal RNA is filed under the name uncultured bacterium. RNAcentral's name for it is "partial 16S ribosomal RNA". It matches the Rfam family "Bacterial small subunit ribosomal RNA", at positions 525 to 774 of the family's 1533-position model. The record is from RNAcentral.